UAGGUCGCUUGCGCGGUACCCGUACGUCUGCACGUCGAGCGCCCCGAGUUGGAACUUGCUCCUUUGACGUUAGCGGCGGACGGCUGAGUAUCUGCUGGGCAACCUACCUUAUAGUUUGGGAUAACUCCGGGAAACCGGGGCUAAUACCAAAAAUUCUGUUUCACCUCAUGGUGAAAUAUUGAAAGACGGUUUCGGCUGUCACUAUAUGAUGGGCCCGCGGCGCAUUACUGGUUGGUGAGGUAACGGCUCACCCUGGCGACGAUGCGUAGCCGACCUGACAGGGUGAUCGGCCACACUGGGACUGAGACACGGCCCAGACUCCUACGGGAGGCAGCGCUACGGAAUCUUCCACAAUGGGCGAAAGCCUGAUGGAGCAACGCCGCGUGAGUGAAGAAGGAUUUCCGGUUCGUAAAACUCUGUUGUAAGGGAAGAACAAGUACAGUAUUAACUGGCUGUACCUUGACGGUACCUUAUUAAAAGGCCACGGCUAACUACUUGCCAGCAUCCGCGGUCAUACGUAAGUGGCAAGCGCUCUCCCGAAUUACUGCCUUUAAACUGCGCGCAGGUGAGUUUCUUAAGUCUGAUGUGAAAUUCCACGUGUCAACCUUGGAUGGUCAUUGGAAACUAGGAGACUUGAGUGCAAAAGAGGAUAGUGGAAUUCCAAGUGUAGCUGAGAAAUGCAUACAGAUUUGGAAGAACCGCUUUGACCCCGGCGUAUAUCUGGCCUGUAACUUACACUGAUAGCC
This 746-nucleotide ribosomal RNA is filed under the name Bacillus sp. HPC945. RNAcentral's name for it is "bacterial SSU rRNA". It matches the Rfam family "Bacterial small subunit ribosomal RNA", at positions 29 to 753 of the family's 1533-position model. Lineage: Bacteria; Bacillati; Bacillota; Bacilli; Caryophanales; Bacillaceae. The record is from RNAcentral.